GGUUGUGGCUUAGUGGUAGAGCGCUUGCCUAGCUGCAUGAAGGUACUGGGUUUGAUCCCCGGCACCA
This 67-nucleotide transfer RNA is filed under the name Marmota monax (woodchuck). Its description in RNAcentral is "tRNA.Undet". The record is from RNAcentral. Lineage: Eukaryota; Metazoa; Chordata; Mammalia; Rodentia; Sciuridae.